GACCUAGUGUGGUGUAGUGGUUUGAAUGUCGGAUUAGGACUCUGGAGACCAGGGUUCGAUUGCCAGCUUGGCCA
Phrynosoma platyrhinos (Desert horned lizard) is the source of this 74-nucleotide non-coding RNA. Lineage: Eukaryota; Metazoa; Chordata; Lepidosauria; Squamata; Phrynosomatidae. The record is from the annotation of a GenBank genome assembly.